UACGUAGGGGGCAAGCGUUGUCCGGAUUUAUUGGGCGUAAAGAGCGUGUAGGCGGCCAGGUAGGUCCGUUGUGAAAACUGGAGGCUUAACCUCCAGCUGUCGAUGGAAACCAUCUGGCUAGAGUCCGGAAGAGGAGAGUGGAAUUCCUGGUGUAGCGGUGAAAUGCGCAGAUAUCAGGAAGAACACCCGUGGCGACGGCGGCUCUCUGGGACGGUACUGACGCUGAGACGCGAAAGCGUGGGGAGCGAACAGG
Molecule: ribosomal RNA, 253 nt
Filed under: uncultured bacterium
Lineage: Bacteria
Description: partial 16S ribosomal RNA
Rfam family: Bacterial small subunit ribosomal RNA
Source: RNAcentral